CCCCACUUCCCUAGGGCACUCGCCUUUCCGGAAAUGCGCUUGCCCAGCGGGCAGCCUCCACAUCCCGGGGAGGUCUCAGCCUCACCCUCCCAGCUGCCACGCCCUGACCUGGUCCUCACCAGCCCCUGCCCACCCAGAGCCUUUCUGGGGCACAAUGGCUGGCUCUCCGUGGAGUGGAGGAUGUAGGCGUGGAUCAGAGAAUCGCCAGAGUGUGAUCCAGCCGUGAUGAAGAGGGGUGCCUGAUGCUCUCGGAAUUCAGGAUGGUGAUCCGACCUGCUGUGAAGCAGUCACCGAGGAUGCGGGUUCGCUGCUGCUGCCAAGGCCUGUACCUUAGCUACUUGGUCCUUCAACACACCCAUUCUCAGCAGGCUUCCCUCAUCUGACCCGUCCUAUGCUGAUAUGCCGUUCUGAACCUGGGAGCAGUGACUUUCCUAUCUCUUGUCACUAAGAGACCUUCUUGUCACUUAAGUGUGCUUCUUGCCUCUUAUCAAUUAAACUAUGGUAUAAAUUUCUAAGGGGGCUUCCCUGGUGGCUCAGAUAGGAAAGAAUUCACCUGCAGUGUGGGAGACCUGGGAUCAAUCCCUGGGUUGGGAAGAUCCCCUGGAGGAGGGCAUGGCAACCCAACCCACUCCAGUAUCCUUGCCUGGAGAAUCCCACGGACAGAGGAGUCUGGCGGGUUACAGUCCAGUUCAUGGGGUCGCAAAGAAUUGGACAGGACUGAGCAGUUGUCCUGCACAUAAGCGUCUAAAAGGCAGAAUCCAUGUAAUUCUGCAAGACAGAUUUUAACAAAUCCCUUUAAAUUUAACUGCAAGUGAUCUUUAUCAUCCUGAGAGGCCUCUAAGGUUACCUUUGCAGUAACUGUUUUAGAUUGCUUUCAGAGAAUACUUGAGAUUGUUGAUUAAUCACUCAGUUCUGUCUGACUCUUUGCAACCCCAUGAAUUGUAGCCCACCAGGCUCCUCUGUCCAUGGGAUUUCCUAGGCAGGAAUACUGGAGUGGAUUGCCAUUUCCUUCUCCAGGGGAUCUUCCUGACUCAGGGAUCGAACCCAUGUCUCCUGCAAGUCUGCUACAUUGCAGGCAGAUUUUUUACUGCUGAGCCACCAGGGAAGCCCAUUUUCCCUACGUUUGUUGGUUUUCCCCAGAUCAUAAGUCCCACUUCUCAAAGUAAAGGCCAGAAAUGUGCUUUCUUAGACUCCCUUGCAGCUAAGAUAUAGGUGUGUGACCUGCAUUCCACCAAUCAGAUGCAACAAUAUGAGACUGAUUUGGAAGAGAGCAACUGAGGAAGCAGGGACCCAGAAAAGGGGGCGGGGGAGGCACCUCACCUUUAGAGUAACAGAGGAGAUGCUUGGGGAUCCACCCAGCUGAUGGGAGUGAGGUGAGGCAAGUUAUAGAAUUCAUGCUGAUUGACAGCUGCUAUGGUAGCUUUGCUGGAAGAGUACCUCUGGGUGGUCUGGCUGUCAUCUCUGAAUACUGGACCUUUGUACCAAUCAUCCCUUCUGGAUUCUGUAAGCCUCUUAAUCUUUUUAAGUAAGUUCCUUUUCUGUUAAAGUGGAUUCUGUGGUUUGCAACUAAGAUCUCUGAUACAGAUGGUUGGACUGAUGGAUGAGUAGUUUCUUCCUCUUCUUCUUUUUUCAAACAAUGGAAUGAUGUUACUAGUACAAUAAUAAAAAGCUAUCAGAAGCCCAGACCUAGGAGAGCUCAAAGUCCAGUGCAGCACAGAUCAGCACAGUGAACGUGGAAGCCAGGUCUGAACACUGGGUGUUCCAAGACACGAUGAUCUCUGGAGAUACCAUGACUUUGGACUCAGAUCCUGCUGUCUCAGCCAGCCUGCCCUACCACCAGCAAAAUGCCUGCUUUCUUUCUUCUCCCCUCUGAACCCCACACCAAAGGCUGUGCCCACCACUCAGAGGCAUGCGCUUGGCUCAUCCUGCCUUGUGACAUUGUUCCUGUUUACCCAACAAUCUCAUUUUACCAUGAGCAAGGAUGACAAGCACAUUUGUGACUCAUCCCAUAUUGUUCUGCCCUCUCCCUGCUCUGGACUCCCGGCGGCACUGCCUGUCUUUCCCUUGGCUGGCAAUACCACAACCUUGCUCUGCAGCUCUUUUUCACAUGGGCACAUCCCAUUGCCCAGCACAGACUCAGCUCCAUGGAGGCUGAGACUGCAAUUAAUGUGAUUUUUGCACAGGUAUGCAGGAUGAAGGAUUUUAUGAUAUGUCUAUAGAAGGUGAGAAUCAUAUGGUUUCGUUUCACUUUGAUGACUUCACCAUAGCAAAAUUAUAAGCUUUUGCAGACAGAGGCCUUUUCCUUCCUCCCUUCCUUCCUUCAUUUGUUCAUUCAUUCAGCACACAGUGAGUAACUAUGAUGUGCCAAGCACUGUGCUGUGUGCUGGAAAUUUAAUAAGGCAUAAAUCCUUUUCUUAAGGUGUUCACAAUGUAAUAGUAAGAAACAGAUAUAUUGGCAAAUAAACAGGAAAAAAAGUGAUAGAGUUCACAUAGGCAAGUGUGCAAGGUAGAGAAGAGAGUGACUGGUUGAGGACAGAAAGAGCUUUUCCAUAGGAAUAAUACCAAGUGCUCUCUCCAGGACAGCCCUGUCUUCGGUACAGUACUUGACCUAUGCUCAUUCACUUAAUCCUUACAAUCCAAAGCAAGUGCUAUUAUUACCCCCAUUUUGCAGGUGAGGAAACUAAAGCCUAGAGAGGUUUAAUGUCUUAGAAGUUUGCACGCUGGUGAGCUGCAGGGCCAAUCUGUGCACCUAGGGCUCUCUGCUCUAACAGUGAGUGUAACUGUUGUGCCGUACUGCCCUGAAUGAAUUCUGGAAAGGGGAGUAAGGGAUUACUAAGCAUGGUGGCCUUCUACACAGGACAGGGCACGGAGUGGCUCAUGCCUGUUCUGCUGUUCUGCUCAGGUGGGACCUAGGUGCAUCGGAGAAUGGGGUAGUGCAGGGAUGGCCACUCGGCGACGGGUGAGAACUCACUGCCACAGUCUUGUACUUUGGUUGUUCCCUUUGUUUCCUGGUGGUUAAUUGCAGUGCUAAAGAGUGGCAACCUAAACAGAAUUGUGAGGUUGGCAGAAUGGGCUUUUCCUCCUCAGGACUGGAUCGGGGGUACCCCUGGCUUUGGAGUCACAGGGACUUGGGAUCCGGUCCCAAGCCCUGCAGCUGACUGGCUGAGUGACUUUGAGUAAGUCACUCAACAUCUCGGAACCUCACUAUUCUUGACUGUUAAUUGAUGAUAAAACCUCAGUGCUGACGUAAGAUUAAAUGAGAUAAUGCAUGUAGAUCAGUUUAGAACUACUGCCUAGCAUGUAGCAAGCUGGCCAAAAAUGGAAUCUAAGUCCCAAUCCCUUAUCUACAGCUCCAAAACCUUAAAAAGCUCUGAAAAGGAAACACAUGUGGCAACAAAACCUGUCCUGAACCAGUGCGAAGUGAAGUCUUUCUUUAGUUGCACCUAGUAUUAUUUGCAUUUGCAGAAAGGGAAGUGCAAUUGCACCUAGUAUAAUGAUCCAUUAUCCAUACACUUUAUUACAGAAACAUCAAUGUAUUUGAAUAGAGAAUGCAGCCCACAUCCUACUAGAGGCAUUGCAAAGUAUAUACUACAGACAGCCAUGUUGCUUUUCUAAAAUUGAAACCAAAAGCCCUGCAUUACAAAGCACAUCUGACCCCAAAAACACCAGAUAGGGGGUUCAGAUUGGCAUCAGCUUCCCUCUGGACCACUCUAUCUACUUCUGAUCUACUUCUUAAUCCCAGUUGCUCAAAUGGUCCUUGGCAUCUGGAACCAACCCUUGGUUCCAACAGAAAUAUAUAUCCAUCCACACACCCUUUGGGCUUCCCACAGGCUUGCCUCCUGCAACCAAGUUCCUUUGCUCCCAAUGACUCCUCCACUCUACUCUCUGCCAACCCCAUAGAAUUUGGGGGCUUUUUUCUCCCAUACCCUGGUAGAGAAGAUGAACUACGGACAUGUGUCCUCCUCUGACCUGCUAUGGCAGUAUGGUCUCAGCAAGUUAUUACCUGCCUAUGAGCUGCAGGAUUAUUGCUGGAAGUCCCUAUUUGUGCUCCAAAUAGUCUCUGCUGACUGUAUAAGCAAUGUCUGGGAUAUAAAUGUGCUGCUCCUUUUCAAGUUUGUAGUGAAGCUUUGGUCGUUUUCCUUCUAUGAGUUUCCCCCAAUUGACUAAAGCCCAAAAUAACAACUCCCUUCAUGUGCAGGAUCACAAUAAUUUCUGAUGGGAAAAAGGAGUCCUCGUGUUGGAGCAAGUUGGAAACCCCUGAGCUGGGCUGUCAAGACCGCAUGUCAUUUCCCCUUUAACAGAGUGGGAGUCAUGAGACCUGAGGUCAGGUUCCAGCCCCUCCCCUGGCUGGCUGGCUGAUCUUGGGGGCAGCCCAUGUGACUUGCAGAGCUUUGGUUUCCUCAUCCUGGGGCAGAGAUCAUAGAAAUUAUUUGGCAAGAUUGACAAGAAGAUUAAAUGAGAUAAUGAAAGGGCUUCGAAAGCUGAUGUGUUGCACAAACACAUCAUAAGGACUGUUGUCAUCUUCUCACACAUACUGUCAGCUUCUUAAGGGCAGGGGCAGUGUCUUCUGUUUUUACCUUCAGUUCCCUCAGUGACGCUCCCCCUGACCCCCGCCCCAGCCUCUAUCUCCUGCCCUCAACACAGAACUAUGGAGAUGACCUCGUAAAAACACUGUGAAGUGACUGACCCGGUGGCUUAGCACUUAGAAGUUGCAUCCCUGCGCGUGCACUGUUAUACAGACAGGCAGUCGAGGGCAGAGGUUCAGUGCCUGGGCCCUGGUUCGAGUCCUCUCUCUGCCAUGUGCUGAGUUUGGGCAAGGUUGGCACUUACCUGCCCUGCUGUCCUCAUUCCUCACAGGUGGCUGAUGAGACCAGCAGCUAGUUCUUGAGGUGGUUGUGAAAACUGAAGGACUUGAGACUAUGCCAAGCCAGGCGCGAAUCAAGCCCUCAUAGGCAUCAGCUGUUGUUAUUAUUUUACUAAUUAUAUCCCGAGGUGGUGCCAGAAGAUCAUGAGCAGAAAUCUAGCUCUUGGGAUUUGUUUAGAGCUGAAAAGUUCUUCAAAGAUGGUCCAAAGCUCAGGGCAGGUUCUUACAGUCAGCACAAAUAAUGUAGCUGUGGAUACACUUGAGGAUCAUUCCCCCCAGGUGUGGGCUAGAUCCCCAGACCAGACAUUGUUGGGUAAAAAGUGUGCAUAUUUAGCUUUUGGAUAAAUAUCACAACUGUGCAACACACAGAUGUUUCUGUUUGCAUUCCUUCCCAUCAGAACAAGAGAGCCUGUUUCCUCACACCCCAAUGCACCCACAUUUUAAAGUGUAAAUCUUAUUAAUUUCUGACUUGUGAAUAUUUGCAAGAUGCAAAAAAUUCAAAGAGGUACAAAGGGCAUACAGGAGCACACAGGGGAUUUCCUGUCCAGUGGUUAGGACUUCGUGCUUUCGCUGUCACGGGUAAAGGUUCGAUCCCUAGUCUGGAAAGUAAAAUCCCUCAAGUCAUGGGUUGAGGCCAAAAAACAAAAAAACCAAAAACAACCACCUAAGUCCGCUCCCCAGAAACACAAACUUUGAUCUCAGCCUCUCUGGGAAGUGGAAAGUGGCGUCUCACUAAAUAAAUCUCACUAUUGUAUUUAUGUGAAAACAGACUGGAAUGUAUUGGAGUAGAAUGUUGUAUCUGAAUGAACUUGAAGACUUCAAAGACAUGCUCAAGGGUGGGGCGGGGUGGGGAGCUGCUUCUGCCUGUGCCCCCAACCUGUUCUAGGGGAGAAACUUGGUACAACUCUGAGUUAGUCUGUAGAAUGAAAACCUGAGGAUGUCCCCUGCUCCCUUUGAUUGUACUGGGGCUCUCUGCAUCACCCCAGUCACCUGUUUGCAAUCCUUCCCCCUCGGCCACCACCUUGCUGUCUGACCCUGAGGCAGUCGCCUCUGCUCUGGGCUUCAGUUUUCCUUGAGGGUGGAAUGAUUUGAGAGAAUAGCAUUGAAACAUGUAUAUUGGUGGUUAGUCGCUAAGUCGCUAAGUUGCGACCCCAUGGAGUGUAGGCUCCUCUGUCCAUAGGAUUCUCCAGGCAAGAACACUGGAGUGCGUUGCCAUUUCCUUCUCCAAACAUAUAUAUUACCAUAUGUGAAAUAGAUGACCAGUCCAAGUUUGAUGCAUGAAAUAGGGCACUAAAGCCGGUGCACUGGGACAACCCAAAGGGAUGGGAUGGGGAGGGAGGUGGGAGAGGGGUUCAGGAGCGGGGAGGAAACACUUACGCCCGUGGCUGAUUCAUGUCGAUGUAUGGCAAAAACCAGCACAAUAUUGUAACUAGCCUCCAAUUAAAAUAAAUAAAUAAUUUUUUUUUAAAGGAAGGGUUGGUCUAGGCCCCCAUUUCAGGUGUAAUAUUCCAGGACUGUUCAACUAAUUCACACUGAAGUGUAGGUGACUGAUAACAGCUUAAUGUAUUACCUCUCCCGUGGGUGGGACCAUUUUAAGAGAUGUAAUUUCUCAUCCCCAAAGAAUGAAUGUGCCUGUUGCAAUUUCAGGCACGGUCACAGGUGAGCGGGGGAAGCUGUAGGGGAGGGGCACCUCACCUGGCAUUCCUCCAGCGGUCACUGGUUUUGGGCGGGGGCUGCUCUGGCCGGGGCAGGGUGUUGGCCCUGAAGGGAUGGACGUGCCCUUUGGUCUCCCUCUAGAACUCACAUCACACUUGUUUCUGUCUGGCACUGGCCAAGAGUAGGGUUUUGUCAUACAGAAAAACGCUUCAUCAGGGAAACCCUCGUGUGUGGCCUGGAA
Long non-coding RNA from Budorcas taxicolor (takin), 6761 nucleotides. RefSeq lists it as uncharacterized. NCBI's taxonomy places the organism in Eukaryota, Metazoa, Chordata, Mammalia, Artiodactyla, Bovidae. The transcript has 3 exons. The record is from RefSeq and is a predicted model, not a curated record.